GAGGCCUCCCCGUUCGCCUCCCAGAGGCCGCCACUUUCUUCAGGGCUAUCAGAUGAAGGCAGCAACGAAAACACCACCACAAGACCAACUUCAGGCUGGAGCUGAUGAUGCCACACAGGUAUAAUAUUAGGCAGAAACCCAAUAUAAAAAGAAAAGCAGAGUUGUUGUAGAUUCAUCGAGGGUUGGCGACCUGGUUCCAAUGAGCCAUCUCCCUGUUCCGACAGGGGCUUCCUGGAGCUCCUGCAACCCCAGGCAUUAGUUCCGGUGCAGUUCUAGGAUCAGAUCAAUUCACUCGACAACAAGAGAAACAAAUGGAGAUUCCUACACAAAGACUUUCAAGCACAAAGAAAUCCUGCUGCCUGUAAAGCGGAGCUGCCUCAGCCCUUGAUGAACGACAGAAAAUACCACCUACUGCCAGACCUCAACGCCUCACAAAACUCUCACCCACCUACUGCUUUUAGCUCACAUUCCAGGAAUUCAGAUGAAGUGAAGUGCUCUCAUGGGGACCAGGCAUGGUUAUGCCAGUCCACUGCCCUGCAAGCCUCAAGGGAAGCCAACUGCCCUUCAGCAAGUCACACCUGCCUUGGUGGAGGCCUUGAUUGGAAGUGCCACACGCUACAUGUCCAGUCCUGAGCGGGAGAAUCGGUGUAGGGACGUUCUGGGGAUGCCAGCUGUGGCCAGAUCAGGUCCAACUACAGAAGAAUAAUGAAGACUCCACCUGAGGGCUGGAAAAACAAAACCUCAAGUGUGAGGCAGCCAACCUGUUACCUCGAGGGACUGUUCCGCAGCACAGCGGGGCCAUGGGAACAGCAGCAGACACCCCG
RNAcentral lists this long non-coding RNA (824 nucleotides) under Homo sapiens (human). RNAcentral describes it as "novel transcript". The record is from RNAcentral. Lineage: Eukaryota; Metazoa; Chordata; Mammalia; Primates; Hominidae.